CCUACGGGCGGCAGCAGUGGGGAAUAUUGCGCAAUGGGGGAAACCCUGAUGCAGCAACGCCGCGUGAUUGAAGAAGGACUUCGGGUUGUAAAGCUCUAUCAUCAGGGAAGAAUUUUGACGGUACCUGACUAAUAAGCUCCGGCUAACUACGUGCCAGCAGCCGCGGUAAUACGUAGGGAGUAAGCGUUAUCCGGAUUUACUGGGUGUAAAGGGCGUGUAGGCGGGCGCGCAAGCCUGAAGUGAAAGCCGGGGGCUUAACCCUGGGACUGCUUUUGAAACUGUGUGGCUUGAGUGCUGGAGAGGCAGGUGGAAUUCCCAGUGUAGCGGUGAAAUGCGUAGAUAUUAGGAGGAACACCAGUGGCGAAGGCGGCUUGCUGGACAGUAACUGACGUUGAGGCGCGAAAGCGUGGGGAGCAAACAGGAUUAGAUACCCGAGUAGUC
RNAcentral lists this ribosomal RNA (441 nucleotides) under uncultured bacterium. Its description in RNAcentral is "partial 16S ribosomal RNA". It matches the Rfam family "Bacterial small subunit ribosomal RNA", at positions 338 to 795 of the family's 1533-position model. The record is from RNAcentral.